UAAAGGAAAUAAGAGCGCACAGUGGAUGCCUAGGCACCAAGAGCUGAUGAAGGACGCAAUUAACGGCGAUACGCUACGGGAGCUGUAAAUAAGUGUAGAUCCGUGGAUUUCCGAAUGGGGCAACCUACUAUAAGAAGUUAUAGUAUCAAUUGUUAGGCAACUAACUGAUUGAAAGGAACGCAGUGAACUGAAAUAUCUAAGUAACUGCAGGAACAGAAAGUAAUAACGAUUCCGGUAGUAGUGACGAGCGAAUCCGGAACAGCCGGAUACCAAUAACUAGUUACCAAAUUUUAAUUAACUCGAAAUAGUUGGAAAGCUAUAUCCCAGAAGGUGAAAAUCCUGUAGAGGUAAGUUAAAAUCUAGGGUAUCCUCAAGUACGGCGAGACACGAGAAAUCUUGUUGGAAGAUAGGAGGACCAUCUCCUAAGGCUAAAUACUCCUUGGUGACCGAUAGUGAACUAGUACCGUGAGGGAAAGGUGAAAAGAACCCCGGAAGGGGAGUGAAAUAGAUCCUGAAACUGUGUGCUUACAAGUAGUCAAAGCUCGUUUAAGAGUGAUGGCGUGCCUUUUGCAGAAUGAACCGGCGAGUUAUGAUAUAGAGCAAGGUUAAGUUUGAAGGAACGUAGCCGUAGCGAAAGCGAGUCUGAAUAGGGCGUUUAGUUGUAUGUCAUAGACCCGAAACUGAAGUGAGCUAGCCAUGAACAGGCUGAAGUGACGUGACCACGUCAUGGAGGGCCGAACCAGGACACGUUGAAAAGUGUUUGGAUGAUUUGUGGCUAGAGGUGAAAUUCCAAUCGAACUCAGAGAUAGCUGGUUCUCCCCGAAAUAGCUUUAGGGCUAGCGUUGGGUAUUUAAUAGUUCUUGAAGGUAGAGCACUAAAUGAGUGCGGGCUCCACCUCGGGGUACCAAUCUCAAUUAAACUCCGAAUGUCAAGAACCGUAUCCCAGCAGUCAGACGAUGGGUGAUAAGGUCCAUGGUCAAAAGGGAAAGAGCCCAGACCGUCAGCUAAGGUCCCUAAAUUAAUGUUAAGUGGUUAAGGAGUAAAAACGUUAAAACAAUUAGGAAGUUGGCUUAGAAGCAGCCACCCUUUAAAGAGUGCGUAAUAGCUCACUAAUCUAAUAUUUUGCACCGAAAAUGUAACGGGGCUAAACAUUAUACCGAAGCUACGGAUAUGUUCCGGCUAGUAAUAGCUAAGGAACAUGUGGUAGAAACGUUCUAACAUCGUAGAAGCUAUAGCGGAAGCAGUAGUGGAGAGGUUAGAAGUGAGAAUGCCGGUGUAAGUAACGAAAAGAUAGAUGAGAAUUCUAUCCGUCGAAAACCCAAGGUUUCCAGGGGCAGGGUCGUCCGCCCUGGGUUAGUCAGGAACUAAGGCGAGGCAGCAAUGCGUAGUCGAUGACCAGCAGGCUAAAAUUCCUGCACUAAAAAAAUCACUGAUGGAGGGACAAAAGAGGAUAAGCACGCCCUUUAUUGGAUUAGGGUUGAAAAAUCGAGUUUGAGAAGAUAGGCAAAUCCGUCUUCUUACUUGCCAAAAAAUGAGAUUUGAGGGUAACGUGACUGUGUUCAUAUUUUCUAGAAAAGCUUCUAGGGUUAAUGAUUUUUUUACCUGUACCGUAAACCGACACAGGUGGGAAGGUAGAGUAUACUAAGACGCGCGAGAAAACUCUUGUUAAGGAACUCGGCAAAAUGACUCCGUAACUUCGGGAUAAGGAGAGCUUUUAUGAUAAAAAGUAAAAGCCGCAGAGAAUAGGCCCAAGCGACUGUUUAUCAAAAACACAGGUCUCUGCUAAACCGUAAGGUGAUGUAUAGGGGCUGAUGCCUGCCCGGUGCUGGAAGAUUAAGAGGAGAUGUUCGGGCUUGCCCAAAGCAUUGAAUUGAAGUCCCAGUGAACGGCGGCCGUAACUAUAACGGUCCUAAGGUAGCGAAAUUCCUUGUCGGGUAAAUUCCGACCUGCACGAAAGGCAUAACGAUUUGGGCGCUGUCUCAACAAGAGUCUCGGUGAAAUCAAAUUACCGGUGAAAAUGCCGGUUACCCGCGACAGGACGAAAAGACCCCAUGGAGCUUUACUGUAGCUUAAUAUUGGAAUUGGAAAUCUCAUGUACAGGAUAGGUGGGAGACAGAGAACUUUAGACGCUAGUUUAAAGGGAGUCACCGGUGGGAUACCACUCUUGAGAUUUUUAGUUUCUAACCUGCAUAAGUGGAUUAUGAGGGACAGUGUUUGGUGGGCAGUUUGACUGGGGCGGUCGCCUCCUAAAAAGUAACGGAGGCGUUCAAAGGUUCCCUCAAAAUGGUCAGAAAUCAUUUUUAGAGCGUAAAGGUAUAAGGGAGCUUGACUGUGAGACCUACAAGUCGAGCAGGGACGAAAGUCGGACUUAGUGAUCUUGCGGUACCGAAUGGAAGGGCCGUGACUCAACGGAUAAAAGCUACCCUGGGGAUAACAGCCUUAUCGCCCCCGAGCGUUCACAGCGACGGGGCGGUUUGGGACCUCGAUGUCGGCUCAUCGCAUCCUGGAGCUGGAGCAGGUUCCAAGGGUUGGGCUGUUCGCCCAUUAAAGCGGUACGCGAGCUGGGUUCAGAACGUCGUGAGACAGUUCGGUCUCUAUCCGUCGUGGGCGUUGGAAAUUUGCGAGGAACUGUCCCUAGUAUGAGAAGACCGGGAUGGAUAUACCGCUGGUGCACCAGUUGGUUCGCCAGAGCCAUAGCUGGGUAGCUAUGUAUAGUAUGGAUAAACACUGAAAGCAUCUAAGUGUGAAGCCUCCCUCAAGAUGAGAUUUCCCUAAGAGAUCCCUGAAAGACGAUCAGGUUGAUAGGCUAGAAGUGGAAGAGUAGUGAUAUUUGGAGCUGACUAGUACUAAUAGAUCCAACGACUUUGAUGA
This 2871-nucleotide ribosomal RNA is filed under the name Candidatus Phytoplasma australasiaticum subsp. taiwanense. Its description in RNAcentral is "'Echinacea purpurea' witches'-broom phytoplasma 23S ribosomal RNA". It matches the Rfam family "Bacterial large subunit ribosomal RNA". Lineage: Bacteria; Bacillati; Mycoplasmatota; Mollicutes; Acholeplasmatales; Acholeplasmataceae. The record is from RNAcentral.